CGUAGCAUCUCCGCUUUCGUCUUAAUGCAUACUAUGUCGAGCGGACAGAUGGGAGCUUGCUCCCUGAUGUUAGCGGCGGACGGGUGAGUAACACGUGGGUAACCUGCCUGUAAGACUGGGAUAACUCCGGGAAACCGGGGCUAAUACCGGAUGGUUGUCUGAACCGCAUGGUUCAGACAUAAAAGGUGGCUUCGGCUACCACUUACAGAUGGACCCGCGGCGCAUUAGCUAGUUGGUGAGGUAACGGCUCACCAAGGCGACGAUGCGUAGCCGACCUGAGAGGGUGAUCGGCCACACUGGGACUGAGACACGGCCCAGACUCCUACGGGAGGCAGCAGUAGGGAAUCUUCCGCAAUGGACGAAAGUCUGACGGAGCAACGCCGCGUGAGUGAUGAAGGUUUUCGGAUCGUAAAGCUCUGUUGUUAGGGAAGAACAAGUGCCGUUCAAAUAGGGCGGCACCUUGACGGUACCUAACCAGAAAGCCACGGCUAACUACGUGCCAGCAGCCGCGGUAAUACGUAGGUGGCAAGCGUUGUCCGGAAUUAUUGGGCGUAAAGGGCUCGCAGGCGGUUUCUUAAGUCUGAUGUGAAAGCCCCCGGCUCAACCGGGGAGGGUCAUUGGAAACUGGGGAACUUGAGUGCAGAAGAGGAGAGUGGAAUUCCACGUGUAGCGGUGAAAUGCGUAGAGAUGGUGGAGGACCACCAGUGGCGAAGGUGACUCUCUGGUCUGUUACUGACGCUGAGGAGCGAAAGCGUGGGGAGCGAACAGAAUUAGAAUCCAGGUGGAGCGAAAGGCGACCUUCUGGUCUUGUAACUGGACGCUGAGGAGGCGAAAAGCUUGGGGGAAGCGGAACCAGGAAUUAGAUACCCUUGGUAGUCCACGCCGUAAAACGAUGAGUGCUAAGUGGUUAGGGGGGUUUUCCGCCCCUUUAGUGCUGCAGCUAACGCAUUAAGCACUCCCGCCUGGGGGAGUACGGUCGCAAGACUGAAAAUUCAAAGGAAAUUGAACGGGGGCCCGCACAAAGCGGUGGAGCAUGUGGUUUAAAUUGAAAGCAACGCGAAGGAACCUUACCAGGUCUUGACAUCCUCUGACAAUCCUAGAGAUAGGACGUCCCCUUCGGGGGCAGAGUGACAGGUGGUGCAUGGUUGUCGUCAGCUCGUGUCGUGAGAUGUUGGGUUAAGUCCCGCAACGAGCGCAACCCUUGAUCUUAGUUGCCAGCAUUCAGUUGGGCACUCUAAGGUGACUGCCGGUGACAAACCGGAGGAAGGUGGGGAUGACGUCAAAUCAUCAUGCCCCUUAUGACCUGGGCUACACACGUGCUACAAUGGACAGAACAAAGGGCAGCGAAACCGCGAGGUUAAGCCAAUCCCACAAAUCUGUUCUCAGUUCGGAUCGCAGUCUGCAACUCGACUGCGUGAAGCUGGAAUCGCUAGUAAUCGCGGAUCAGCAUGCCGCGGUGAAUACGUUCCCGGGCCUUGUACACACCGCCCGUCACACCACGAGAGUUGGUAACACCCGAAGUCGGUGAGGUAACCUUUAAGGAGCCAGCCGCUCGAAGAUUGGAACAGGAAGCAUUGGA
RNAcentral lists this ribosomal RNA (1579 nucleotides) under Bacillus amyloliquefaciens. RNAcentral's name for it is "bacterial SSU rRNA". It matches the Rfam family "Bacterial small subunit ribosomal RNA". Lineage: Bacteria; Bacillati; Bacillota; Bacilli; Caryophanales; Bacillaceae. The record is from RNAcentral.